GGGAAGGAUGACACAUGUUCAGCCCGGCCCAGUGGCAGAGCAGCCGGCGAGGCAGAGCCAAUGGCUGCUUUUCAUGCUCAGUGAGUCCGUCCACCUCCACCCCCCCCUCCCCGAGUCUUUAAGUUGCAGCUUUUAACUACCUCGGUGUUCAAAGCAAAUAUGAUGCUCAGCGUGAACAGAAGGAAGAGCCUGCUGACAGGUAGACAGCAUGGACACUGAUCCCGGCAGGGCCGGCUGCUGAGAGAGGUGUCCCGGGGGUGCUCCUGAGCCUCUCCUGCUCCAGGUGAUGCCCCAGUUCACCUUCGCUUGCUUCUGUGGGCUCCAUGGCUUCUGCAAGAUGAAGAGGAAGAAAGAAGAGUCCAGUGCACAGCAGGAGACGGCCGUGUGAGGAGCAGACAGACCCUGCCGAGCUGUGCCUCGGGACGGCCCCUCGACGCUGGUUGUGGCCAGGGAGAGCGAAAGGCACGGGAAUGACCUUGCCGGGAGGCAGAAGAAGAGGCUGGGGGUGUCACCCAGGAGCUGCAGCAAUCCCACCGGGUGCUGAGCCCCCAGCACCCCAGCACUCGGGGUCAGAGGGACCCUACAUCCCAGGGGGAUAGAGAUUUCCCUCCUGAACGAGCCAGCCUGCCCUUGCUCCGGCAAAUCUCAACAGACAGACCUGGAAAGGGUUUCAAAAGCCGGGGCCAGACCUUGGAAUCUCAGUCCUGGGCAGGGUUGGCCCCUGGCUGGUAAGUUGUCCUGCUGCUGCAGGACUGGCUGAAGGCAGAAAAGGAGCCGGUUUGGGGCUUGUUUCUCCUUUUAAAGCCUCAAGCAAUUGUCUGUGAGUGCAGGAAGCCAUUCUCUGUGCCUCUGCCCUCCUGCUCCCGUGGCUGCAGCACCCUGGGGUGCUCUGGAGGCACCAGACACACGGACCCUGCUCGGACCAGUGCAGACCAGGAGCUUCCACCCCACAGGCAGGGGGGACACCUCGGGGUGUGAGCCCACCCCCCUGCACCCCUGGGCCAUGAGGCUCAGCAGGAGAUUCUUCUUUUUUGGUGAACAGGACCAAAUUCCUGAGCUUGGGGCACCUGAGAUUCGCUCCAGGGCCAUGUUCUCCAGGGCAGAAAUCCUUAAAUUCUUCCAUGCUGUGCUUCCCUCCUCCCUGUGGAGACCCUCUGAGCCUGGGGCCAAAAGCAGUGCCCUGGACUGCUGGGCAGGAGCUGCUCUUCCCCAGGGUUAGUCCUGCUCCUGCCACCACCUUUCCUGUGGUGGCUGUGCCCAGGAACCUCCUUUCCCCCCCCACCCUGUCCCUCUGUCCUUCCCACCCUCUGCUAAAGCCAUACAGGAGCCCCCUGCAUGCUGUGCCUUCCCGAGGGGUCUCAGGCAGACAUUCCCACUGGGAUACCCUCCAAACAGCCCCAGGAUCUGCACAUGGGAAAGCUGGUGAGUGUUGGUGAGCCAGGGACUCCCAGGGUUUGGGUCUGGGUGACAGGUCCCCCAUCCCUGAACACACCCAGGGUUUGGGUCUCAGUGCCCAGUUCCCCGUCCCUGAACACACCCAGCACUCCCAUCCAGGCACCAGCAGCUCCCAUUUGCUGGAGAGCAGCAGGGACAGCCCCUGGAAAGGGAAAAUGCUUGAGGGCAGCUGGUUGGCAUGGGGGGAUGUUGACUCUGAGACCCCCGAGGAGCCCCCACCAUGGGGGAUGAGCACAUUUGGAGCACAAAUCCUCCCCUGUGAUUAAGAGGCUUGACCUUUCCAGGGUUUUCCCAGUGCUCUCAGACCCACACUCAGCCAACAGAGCUGUCUGUGGCACUGACAGCUCCCUUGGGAGCAGAUUUGUUGGCUCAGCCAACAUCCAGGACCAACACGGCUGUUAUUUUCUUAUCCAAAGGAUUUAGCACAAAAAACCUGAGCUUGGCCAGAAGCCCCAAUAACAACCCAAGGUGCAGCUGAGGAGCUUUAAAUCCUCCCUGCUGGGUGCCUGUUUCCCGGGAAAGCAGCUGGCUAGGGUGGGAUGUGCUGGGAGGUGGGACAGGGGCAGGGGGACACGGGCUGUGCGUGGUCUGUGUGUGUCACACCCGGGCUGGGGCAGCUCAGGACACUUUGCUCUUUCCCCUCUUUAAUCCCAAGCUCUGUGAGCUGUGGGAUCCAGGGCUGCAGCCCCCCAGCAGCGUUCCCAGGUGGGUAUUUCCCAGCUGGACUCCAGUUCUGGCAUGGAAGAGGGCACACGGUGACACGUGAGGUGGACAUGUGAGGGAGCAGCCAGUCCAGCUGCCCUGUCACUUGUCACCACCGAGCCCAGCAGGUUUCCAGCCUGAUUAAUGCUGAUGCUCCCACGUUUUGGCUUGGCUGGGGGACUCAAGGGGGGUCCCUGCUCAUGAUCUGAGCAGGCAUCACCCUGUGAGAGCAGCAGGGCAGGCUCCAGGGAGAGCACCCAGAGCAGAGGUGUUUGGAGGAAAAUCAUGGGAAGCUGUGCUCAGAUGGAACUAAAUCAUUGCUGAGGGGUGAGGAAGAGUGGCCCAGUUCAUUGCUGUGCUGCUGAACCUCUUGGAUCACAGAGCCAGGGGUGGUGCUGAGGAUGGGCAGCUAUUGAGGUUCUCUGUCUCUGGAGCAGCACUGGGGAGGAGGCUGGAGCUGGGGAGGGGCUUCCAGUUCUCCCAGUUGCAGUGGGAGUCCCCCAGCCUGGGCUGGGCUGAGCUGUCUCGAAUAUUCCUGUCUCCAGAGAGGGGUUCCCAAGCCCGGGGUUUAAUGAACGUAGCACGUAAAACUGAGACAGGCAGACACUCGCCCACACCCAUUAUAUGUGCAUUUAAAACACGAGACAAAUGAACCAGGAGCCAUGUGAACGUCAAAGCACUCGAGCUUCAGCAGUUAUUUUUUGAAGAGAAUCUCCCACCUCCCUGGGUGGAUGGAGCUCUCUCGAAGCAACAAUAUGUUUUCCACCGUGUCUCCCAGCGAGAUGGUUUGCUCCUGGAUUGACCUCUAUUGUGUUCAUAAACGGCUCGUGGUGCUUUUUUGAUUCCCCCCCCCCCCCCGUCAGAAUGACUUGACCUCCAGAUUUACGGCUGAAGGUCUUUGUCGUCCGCACGUUGUUUCCCCACCAGACUGCAGCCUGAUUUUUUUCUUUGCUUUUCUGGGGCGAAUCUGCCAAGAGCUGAGCAUAUCCCCCACCCUGCCCCGAGCCCCUCGGAGCCCCCCCCCAUCCUCCCACUGACAAAUCUGCAGUGGGCAAAAGCAAAUGGAUUUUUGUUUCUCUCUUUCCCGUGGCGGGCGUUUUAAUAGGGCAGCGUCUGCUCGGAGCCUGCGAGGGCUGGGGCGUGACAGCUCCUGUCACAGAACACUCUCUCCUCGUCUCCUUCUCUCUUCCCCCACGUUUGCACAACCCCUGGCAUUUUUAUAAGCUCGGGGUUUGCUUAUUUUCCAGGAUUUCCUCUUGCUCUCCUGCCUUUGGCUCCUCCAACCCCACUUUUGCUUCUCCGCUCCAGAGUCCCCCGGAGCUGAGCGAUGCUGGAGUAGAUAAAUCUUACUGACUUACUAACUAUCAUCCAGUAGUUUCCAAGUGCUUUUCCAAGGUUUUUCCAUCCUCUGGAGGGAGGAAGGAAGGUGCAGGGACCCCCCUGGGCUGAGCAGUGAGCUCAGGCUCUCUGGGGCUGCACAACCCCUCGUGUCCUGGCUGCUCCUGAGCAUCCUUGGAGACAGGGUGCAGCAAGGAGUGAGGUGUCCUCUCCAUCAAGAAUCCAGCUCAGUGUACAGCUGGAAUCUCUGCAAAUCCCUGUUCCCUCACACCAUGGGUUCCCAGGGUCUCUGGAGAGAGCCUCCACCUCCACCCCUGCUCAGGGAAAGGAGAGCCCUGCUCCCAAAAGAUGCGUUUGUUCCCACCAGCAAUAAUCCUCCUUUAAUCCUAUUACACUGAGGAAGGCAUCCAACUUCCCUCGGAGCAGAUGAUGGGAUGCACAGAGAAGGGGGCCCCUCUCUCCCUGUUGAUGCCUGCCCUGGAUCCCCACUGGGUUUUUGGGGGUGGGUGUCCACGGCUCAUCCCCUUCCCGUGCACCCCGAGCUUUUCCUGCAGUGCCAAAGGUCUGGAGUGAAAGCAACGACACCCCUGGGAUGGAGCAGAACAUCCCCUGGAAUGAGGAGCAGCCUGGAUCAAGGGCUCAGACCUGGAGCUGAUGCUGGAGUGUCGGGAAAAAACAGUUUUAUGACCCAAGUGAGCAGAACAGGGCCUCAGGCUCACCCAAGACAGGCAGUGUGGGCCCCCUCCGGGAAAUAUUGGCUUCCUUGGAGGGAAGGAAGAGGAAAGAGCAUCCAGAUGUUUAUUGUGUGUGGAAAACAGCCAGGCUGGGGACCAAAACCUGGGGGUAGGGGGGUGUAGAUCCCUUGGAAGAUGGGCUGGGUGAUGGAGGGAUCCUGGUGACAGAUGGAUCCUGGUGUUGGAAUUGUGCUGGUGCUGGAGGGAUCCUGGUGUUGGAAUUGUCCCAGUAAAAGAGGAGUCCUAGUGAAUAAGGGGUCCUAGAGGCAGAGGGAUCUUGGUUUUGGAGAUCCUGGUGCUGAAGGAUUCCUGGUGUUGGAGUUGUCCUGGUGCUGGAGGGGUCCUGGUGCCAGAGGGGUCCUGCCAGAGGAGUCUGCAGGAUCUGGUGUGAGGAGUGUGCAGGAUCUGGUGUGAGCUGCAGGAAUGUUUGUGCACCGAGCUGGAAGGGCACAAGCACCAGCUGUGGGAGACAAGCCAAGGAAAAACUGCAGCUUGAACUCUCCAUCUGGUAACACAUUCUUGAAGGGUUUGCUGGAGACGUGAAAAAGGAGCAGAAAAUAACCCUGGGGAGCCCGAGGCACAUGCUCCACAGCAGGACAGUCUGUCCACAGCAGGACAGACUCCCACCCAAGCCACAACCUGGAGCACUGGGCUCACAACGAGCUGUGUUUGCUGCAGGCAGGGCAAUCUCUGCAUCUUGGGGGGUAGCCAAGAGAAAACCACCUUUUUCUUUUAUUAUUAUUAUUAUUAUUAUUAUUAUUAUUAUUAUUAUUAUUAUUAUUUUUUCCCCAGAAGUCACCUGGUCAAAGCCAUCCUUUUUCCCCCUCCCACAGGCAGGAUUUUUUUCCAGCUCCUCCUGGGCAGUUGGAUGACACAGACUGGAUGCUCCCAGCCUGUUCCAGCUCACCCCUCCCCGAGCCUUCCUCUAGCUCAAAAUUAUCUGUGGCUGCCCCAAAAUCCCCCGUUUUCCAGAAUGUUAUUCCGAGGACAAAGCACAGGCAGCUUUGGGCAGCUCCAGGUGGGCACAGGGGAAGCUCGUGUUGUUUUGGGAGAAAAUGCUGACCGUGUUCUGUUCCUAUUUUUGCACAUCAGCAGAGCCUCCCGAGUUCAGGGUUUGCAGCCCUGGAGAGUCCUUGGUGAGGACCUUCAGAUUUAGCUUUGGGCCAAAAAAAAAAAAACCAAAAAGAAACCAACCAAACAAACAAAAAAAAAAAACAGGGAAGUUGGUGCAACCCAAAGUGUAUUUCUUGAAUGUAACUUUAUUUUUGCACGAGGAUUCGUGGUGGUGACCACGUGGUGGACUUUAUACUUGGGAUUAAUCACUGCUCUGCAGUUUGUUACAAGUGUAAGGUGUGGGUCGAGUUUGACCCUUGUUUUAUGCCAGUGUGAACCCAGAGAGACAAUCUGACACUGAGGUGUCUACAGAAAUAUUAAUUAAACAGAAAUGAGCUUGGACUGGACCCCAGCACUCAGAUUUUCUCCUGUUUCUCCAGAUUUUUCCUAUGCAAACCACCAACAACCAACCAGCACAAGCAGGCAAAGGCAGGCUCACAGCAGGUCCUGACUCAACAAAGCCCUGCCUAAAUCUAAGUGUUUGCUUUGGGAUUUUGCUCCAGCCAAUAAAUUCUCCUGAUUCCACCCGAAAUAAACCUGUAUCGAUCCCUGACAAAGAGGGAAAGGCACAGAACCAUCCUUGCAACACCCCUGACAGGGAUCAGAGCAUUAAACCUCUUGUAUUGUCCUUUUUUUUUUUUUUUUUUUAUCCCACUGCCUGGAUUUCAUCAGGAGGGACCUGUUCCUCAGGAGUUUCCCGGCCCCAGGAGCCAUAGAAAAACAGUACUGUACGUUUGGGAAAAUAAAUGUGGCGUUUGUAAAUAAACACACACACACACACGUCUCUACGCACAGAGCAGAGCACUUCCCGUGGGAAUUCCUAUGCGAGAGGAAUACAUGAGUUAAACAAAUAAAAUAAAAAAUAUUUGU
Chiroxiphia lanceolata (lance-tailed manakin) is the source of this 6212-nucleotide long non-coding RNA. RefSeq lists it as uncharacterized. The record is from RefSeq and is a predicted model, not a curated record. The transcript is spliced from 3 exons. Lineage: Eukaryota; Metazoa; Chordata; Aves; Passeriformes; Pipridae.